RNAcentral lists this ribosomal RNA (480 nucleotides) under Metrocoris esakii. RNAcentral's name for it is "partial 16S ribosomal RNA". Lineage: Eukaryota; Metazoa; Arthropoda; Insecta; Hemiptera; Gerridae. The record is from RNAcentral.
AUGGUCGAACAGACCAAGAAAAUGAAAUUUNGNACCCAUCUCUUAUCUUAAUUCAACAUCGAGGUCGCAAACUUAUUUAUCGAUAAGAACUCUCCAAAUAAAUUACGCUGUUAUCCCUAAGGUAAGUUAAUCUUAUAAUCAAAAAUUGGGGGAUCAAAAAAACAUAAAUUAAUGAAAAAAAUAAUUAAAAGUUAAUUUAAUUUUAAUAUCACCCCAAUAAAACUCAUUCUUUUAAAAAAAUAAUUCAAAAUCAAAAUAUAUAAUUUUAUAAAAUUAGUAAACUUCUAUAGGGUCUUCUCGUCCUAUAAAAAUAUUUUAGCUUUUUAACUAAAAAAUUAAAUUCAAAAAAAUAAUUAAAAGAAAGUUUAUAUUUCAUCAAACCAUUCAUACUAGCCUCCAAUUAAAAGACAAAUGAUUAUGCUACCUUCGUACAGUUNAAAUACCGCAGCCUUUUAAUAUUAUUAAUCAAUGGGCAGGUAC